RNAcentral lists this long non-coding RNA (716 nucleotides) under Sus scrofa (pig). Its description in RNAcentral is "lncRNA (ENSSSCG00070007201.1)". The record is from RNAcentral. Lineage: Eukaryota; Metazoa; Chordata; Mammalia; Artiodactyla; Suidae.
GAGGCUCUGAUGCUGAUCAGUAAUGUCAUUGAUUUCUAGGUGUUACCUAUGUCAUUUUAAAAACAUAAAUUUUUUCAGAACGUAGUUGACUUAGAAAGUUGUGUUGGUUUCAGGUGUACAGCCAGGUAAAUCUGUAACACAUACAUAUGUCUGUUCCUUUUCAGAUUCUUUUUCCGCAUAGGUCAUUACACUGUAUUGAGUAGAUUACUCUGCAAGUACAGUAGGUCCUUGUUACCUAUUUUAUAUAUAGCAGUAUGUGUAUGUCAGUCCCAACCCCCUCACUCAUCCUCCUGCCCCACAUUUCCCCUUUGGUAACCAUAAAAUUGGUUUCAAAAUCUUGGAGUCUGUUUCUGUUUUGUAAGUUCUCUUGCAUCAUUUUUUUUUGUUGUUGUUAGAUUUCACAUAUUAGUGAUCUAUAUUUGUCUUUUUCUGUCAUUUUAAUUUCUUCCUGUUACCAGGUGCCUUUGUACCUAAGAGACAGUCAUGAACAGAAUUUGCAAUGGAAAUACACUGGAGGAAACACACUGGAGGAAAAUACACAUUCUCUGAAAUUUGAAGCCAAAGAAAAGCUUCCAGAGAAAGAAAAUGAGAAAGUCUCAAGAAUUAAAUGGAGUUGUCAUAAAAAAAGAGAGAAGGGCAGAAAGAGAGACAUUCUGCAAGUACAAGGCAUGGAAAUAAGAGCCAGCUCUGCAUAUUCAACGACCGUCAAAAACUAA